UUAAAUGGUUUGUAACCAAUGUUUGAUUUGUCAAAUCCAUAAUUCUGGUAAGACAAUAAAAACUUCAGGUGAUACAUUUCUAGCACCUGUUGGAUAUUUGAACACUUACAGAUGGAUUUUCUUCAGUUGCCACUUUCCAUGCAUGUUUUCUGCUUGCCUAAAAGAUUUUCCAUGCAGGAAGGCUAAUGCUAUAACAGUAGCUAAAUGCUUACUAGAACAUAUGUUUUCCUUAUGGGGCAUUCCUGGAGAAUUUUCCAGUCAUAGAGGUACUCAUUUCACUGGACAAGUUGUAAAACAGUUAAGUAAGGUAUUACAAACACAAUGGUAUUAAGCAAAGCUAAUAGAAUCAAUUGUAUUACCUUGGUAAAAGGUAUUACUGACUGAUGGCAAUCAGACCUACCCUUAGUGGAAAAUACAGAUUAACUCCUUAUGAAAUAGCUACUGGAAGGCCUAUCCUCCUAAUAAUAGAAGCUCACAUGUCUCCUGCUCUUACAAACUCUGACAUGACACAGUAUUGCAAGGCUUUAAUGCAUUAUGCCAAAGUACUAGAGAAAGAUUGCCCUUGAACUCCAUUGAAGGGAUCAUCCUAAGUUUUUCUCUGUAGCAAAAUUUUAGGGCCUCGAGUCUUGGAUCCUUGAGUUGUGGGGCUUCUCUCAACUCAAAAAGGCACCUCCAGACUCUUACAGGCUCACUGGAGACCUCAAGGUAAAACUGACCGGAGAGGUUUCUCUUCAGAAGCAGAUGGCAUCCUAGAUGUUGACAGCUUUCCCAAAAUCACAGAUCAUCAAGACUUCUCUCUUCUGUCACUGUAAGAUCUUUGUCCUCUUUCUCCUUGUAUUUGUUUUCUGUUUAUAUGUGGCAAGAUAAUGUGAUAACUAAGAUUUCAUAAUUGAUAGCUUCUGCAGGGAACUUAACUGAAUGCUGGGCAGAUCAUGUUAAAUCUAAAUUAUUAUGUGACCUUAGAGAUUCUCUGGUUCACCCUGUAACAAAUUUCACUGAUAUUCCAAGUGUGGCUAUCUGUUCAAAUUGCUCAUCUGGUCCUUUAUGUAGGGUUAGGUUUUUAGAUUUAUGGGUUCAGAUUCCCUGUUUAAAUCUAAGAGUAGACAAAAUCUAUAAUGAGGGUUUUGCAGUAAAAUUAUGCCAGAAAUUGACUGAGAAAACCAAAGUAAAGAUAAUUCAACAGUUUGUAGACAAAUUAAUAACAUUAAUCCCUUAAUUGUCAGUAGCCUCCAACCAUGCAAUGAUUCAAUAAUGGAGCCUUAGAUAAAUAUUACUAGUGCUUCCCUACUGAUGACUCUUAAUGCAUAAGACAUCCCACAGGGAUCUGUCUGUUGUGCCCCUCUAGGAUAUAUUUUUAUCUGUGCAAGAUUUAAUAACAACCAUAUGUGUGGGCAAGUUCAUGUCUCAAUAAUUAAAAAAUAAAAAGGACCAAUGUGGAUUAAGGAUCCUAAUAAUAGUGUCACUCCAUAACCAAUUGGAAACUUCACAUUGGUCUAAACCUCGUAAUUUGUAGUAUGAAAUAAAGAGGAAUUUGCCAGAAGGUAUAAAUGCCUCUAAAUGGGCAUCUUUUGGCAGAAUACUCCUUUCUUGGUUUGGUAUAAAUGUAAAUAAAGUUUGAUUAGAAAUCUAUGUUAAACAUUAGCUACUAUAGCUGACUCUACUGAAAAGGAUAUAGUUAUCCAGCAAACUUCUUUAAAUUUUCUUGCUUGAGUUGUUUUAGAUAACAUAAUUGCUUUGGACUAUCUGUUGGCUGAAUGGGGGGAGUGUGUGUGAUAGCUAACACCUCCUGCUGCACUUGGAUAAAUACAUCUGGUAUGGCAGAAACUCCGUUGCAAGAAAUCAACAAACAAGCUACUUGAUUAAAACAAGUAGAUUCCUUUUCUGGUUCAUUUUUGAUAUAUUUGAUUUUGACCAGUUCAAUCUGUGGGGGCCCCUGUUAAGGAAUAUACUUCAAUCUCUCAGCAUUAUUUUCUGAUAACCAUCAUAAUAGUCUCCCUGAGGAUAUGUGCCAUAUCCUCUCAGGAGGUUUAAAUGUUCAUAUGUAGCCAUCCGUUGUAUGUCAAAUGGUCUCACUACAGUUAGAAAAACAAAAAUAUGAAGAGAAUAUAAAGAGUCAUCCAAGUGACUUGUUGUUGUGAAGUAUGAAUCUCAUACUGAGAACAAACAACCAUUGUUAUGGUGACAGAGGGUGGCAUCAAUGCCCAAGGUUUUGGUCAAUCUCUCAAAAUGGAGAAGGAGACCAAAGAGGGGAAAUUGUUUUAAAUUAAUUUUGGCUUAAAGCUGUUUCUGUAUGUAACAACUGCAACCUAACUUAAGAGUAUAUUCUUGUGAUAAGUAGCUGAGUCUCAGCCAAUCAUAGCAGCUGAGCUUCAGCCAAUCAUAGCAGCUGAGCUUCAGCCAAUGAAAGGUUGCCGACUGAUCAGACCACGUCCAUAUAAGGCAAACGCUGAGCUGUAACCAAUCAAGCUGUUUCUGUUGUCACUUUAUUUUUCUGUCUGUAAAUAUGCCUGCCCACAUUGCUGGGUAGAGGAGGUUCUAAGUGCUUCCCAAUUCAUAAAUUGUUCUCUGCUCAAAUAAACUCUGCUAAAUUUAA
Long non-coding RNA from Homo sapiens (human), 2593 nucleotides. Lineage: Eukaryota; Metazoa; Chordata; Mammalia; Primates; Hominidae. The record is from Ensembl.